This 497-nucleotide ribosomal RNA is filed under the name uncultured bacterium. RNAcentral's name for it is "partial 16S ribosomal RNA". It matches the Rfam family "Bacterial small subunit ribosomal RNA", at positions 28 to 507 of the family's 1533-position model. The record is from RNAcentral.
GACGAACGCUGGCGGCGUGCCUAAUACAUGCAAGUUGAGCGCUGAAGGUUGGUACUUGUACCGACUGGAUGAGCAGCGAACGGGUGAGUAACGCGUGGGGAAUCUGCCUUUGAGCGGGGGACAACAUUUGGAAACGAAUGCUAAUACCGCAUAAAAACUUUAAACACAAGUUUUAAGUUUGAAAGAUGCAAUCGCAUCACUCAAAGAUGAUCCCGCGUUGUAUUAGCUAGUUGGUGAGGUAAAGGCUCAUCAAGGCGAUGAUACAUAGCCGACCUGAGAGGGUGAUCGGCCACAUUGGGACUGAGACACGGCCCAAACGCCUACGGGAGGCAGCAGUAGGGAAUCUUCGGCAAUGGACGAAAGUCUGACCGAGCAACGCCGCGUGAGUGAAGAAGGUUUUCGGAUCGUAAAACUCUGUUGGUAGAGAAGAACGUUGGUGAGAGUGGAAAGCUCAUCAAGUGACGGUAACUACCCAGAAAGGGACGGCUAACUACGUG